Long non-coding RNA from Bufo gargarizans (Asiatic toad), 160 nucleotides. RefSeq lists it as uncharacterized. The transcript has 3 exons. NCBI's taxonomy places the organism in Eukaryota, Metazoa, Chordata, Amphibia, Anura, Bufonidae. The record is from RefSeq and is a predicted model, not a curated record.
CGGCGAUCGCAGGGCAGAAGAGGCCAAAGUCAAAGCCAAAGAGGACAAACCAACACCACUACACGGGAAUAUUCCGGCAUCGUCACAAGAUCACAGAUGAAUUAGUCGCACCACCCUUCACUACGUUGGGUCAUCCAUAGAUGGGGUUGGAAUACAUUAC